This 137-nucleotide ribosomal RNA is filed under the name uncultured eukaryote. Its description in RNAcentral is "partial 18S ribosomal RNA". It matches the Rfam family "Eukaryotic small subunit ribosomal RNA", at positions 1299 to 1458 of the family's 1831-position model. The record is from RNAcentral.
UGGUGGAGUGAUUUGUCUGGUUAAUUCCGUUAACGAACGAGACCUUAGCCUACUAACUAGUCGCUUCAAUCUCGAUUGAUGCCGACUUCUUAGAGGGACUUUGUGGUUUAAACACAAGGAAGUUUGAGGCAAUAACA